Mustela lutreola (European mink) is the source of this 2822-nucleotide RNA transcript. It is a transcript of the gene named DEAD-box helicase 27, with no coding region annotated. The transcript is spliced from 20 exons. NCBI's taxonomy places the organism in Eukaryota, Metazoa, Chordata, Mammalia, Carnivora, Mustelidae. The record is from RefSeq and is a predicted model, not a curated record.
UGACGACGAGGAGGCCGACGGAAAGUAAGGGCCGGCCUGCGUGCGAGCUGGUUUCCGGAAGUGGUGCUGCGGCAGCAUGCUUGAGGAGCUGGGUUUAAUCGGGACCAUAGGUGAAGAUGACGAGGUGCCGGGGGAUCCUGAGUCUGACUCCGGGGACGAGGAGGAGGAGGGCCCCAUCGUGCUGGGCAGAAAGCAGAAAGCCUUGCAGAAGAACCGCAGCGCCGAUUUCAACCCUGACUUCGUUUUCACUGAGAAAGAGGGGGCAUACGAUGGCAGCUGGGCCAUGGCUGAUGUCAUGAGUCAGCUCAAGAAGAAGAGGGCAGCCACUACAUUAGAUGAGAAGAUUGAGAAAGUUCGCAAGAAAAGGAAAACAGAGGAUAAAGAAGCCAAGUCUGGGAAGUCAGAGGAGAAAGAAGCAAAGGAAGGCUCGGAACCAGAACCAGAGGAGCAGGAAGACCCUGACAGGAAAGACGAGGGCGGGCCAGAAGAGGAAGACUCCGAGACCGAUUACUCGUCCGCUGAAGAGAACAUCCUCACCAAAGCAGAUACACUCAAAGUAAAGGAGCGGAAGAAGAAGAAGAAGAAGGGACAGGAAACAGGAGGAUUUUUUGAAGAUGCUUCUCAGUAUGAUGAAAACCUCUCUUUCCAGGACAUGAACCUUUCCCGCCCUCUUCUGAAGGCCAUUACAACCAUGGGCUUCAAGCAGCCCACCCCAAUCCAGAAGGCAUGCAUACCUGUGGGUCUGUUGGGGAAGGAUAUCUGUGCCUGUGCAGCCACUGGGACAGGUAAGACUGCUGCUUUUGCCCUGCCUGUCUUGGAGCGGCUGAUCUACAAACCCCGCCAGGCUCCUGUCACGCGCGUGCUCAUUCUGGUUCCCACCCGAGAGCUGGGCAUCCAGGUGCACUCAGUCACCAAGCAGCUGGCUCAGUUCUGCAGCAUCACCACCUGCCUGGCCGUGGGAGGCCUGGACGUGAAGUCUCAGGAAGCAGCUCUGAGGGCGGCGCCUGACAUCCUCAUCGCCACCCCAGGCCGGCUCAUCGACCACCUGCACAACUGCCCUUCCUUCCACCUGAGCAGUAUUGAGGUGCUCAUCCUGGAUGAGGCUGACAGGAUGCUGGAUGAGUACUUUGAGGAACAGAUGAAGGAAAUUAUCCGGAUGUGUUCCCACCACCGCCAGACCAUGCUCUUCUCGGCCACCAUGACGGACGAGGUAAAAGAUCUGGCUUCUGUUUCCUUGAAGAAUCCUGUCCGAAUAUUUGUAAAUAGCAACACGGAUGUGGCCCCCUUCCUGCGGCAGGAGUUCAUCCGGAUCCGGCCGAAUCGGGAAGGGGACCGGGAAGCCAUCGUGGCAGCUCUGCUGACAAGGACCUUCACUGACCACGUGAUGCUCUUCACCCAGACCAAGAAGCAGGCCCACCGCAUGCACAUCCUUCUGGGGCUCAUGGGGCUGCAGGUGGGCGAGCUCCACGGCAACCUAUCACAGACGCAGCGGCUGGAGGCCCUCCGGCGCUUUAAGGACGAACAGAUUGACAUCCUUGUGGCCACAGAUGUAGCAGCCCGUGGACUUGACAUUGAGGGGGUUAAAACGGUAAUUAACUUCACAAUGCCCAAUACCAUCAAGCAUUAUGUCCACCGGGUAGGGCGAACAGCGCGGGCUGGUCGGGCUGGGCGCUCAGUGUCUCUGGUGGGAGAAGAGGAGCGGAAGAUGUUGAAGGAGAUUGUAAAAGCCGCCAAGGCCCCCGUGAAGGCACGGAUACUUCCUCAAGAUGUCAUCCUCAAAUUCCGGGACAAGAUUGAGAAGAUGGAGAAGGACGUGUAUGCAGUUCUACAGCUCGAGGCCGAGGAGAAAGAGCUCCAGCAGUCGGAAGCCCAGAUCAACACAGCAAAGCGGCUCCUGGAGAAGGGGAAGGAGGCACCGAACCACGAGCCUGAGAGGAGCUGGUUCCAGACCAAGGAAGAGAGGAAGAAGGAAAAAAUUGCCAAGGCUCUGCAGGAGUUUGACUUGGCCUUAAGAGGAAAGAAGAAGAGGAAGAAGUUUAUGAAGGAUGCCAAGAAAAAGGGGGAGAUGACAGCAGAGGAGAGGUCCCAGUUUGAAAUCCUCAAGGCGCAGAUGUUUGCUGAGCGGCUGGCCAAGAGGAAUCGCAGAGCCAAGAGGGCCCGAGCAAUGCCUGAGGAGGAGCCAGCAAGAGGCCCUGCCAAGAAACACAAGCAGGUGAAGAAAUCUGUAUUUGAUGAAGAACUUACCAACACGAGCAAGAAGGCCCUGAAACAGUAUCGAGCUGGGUAGGGUUUUAAGUCACCAUGGGGCUCUUUGUAUUUUGAGCAAAGCUGUAUCCCUUCUUCCUCCUCCUGCACUCCCCAAUUCCCAUAUACUUGCGCCCCUAGAAUAUAUAGUUUUAAGGGUUCCUGUCUGAACCACCCCUACCCGUCCCCUACCCCCAGCUAAGAUCGUCGCGGGAUCCCAGGGUGAGAACAGGAGAAAAGUAUGAAGGCUCUCCUGUCUUGGAGGUGAACAUUUCUAGUUCAGAAAUAGACCUUUCUCUCGGGAGAACUAGAAAGGCAGAGGAUCCUGGUUUGCUCUUAGGAAUGUGUUACCCUCCCCGCCUCCCCCCGCCCCCCCCCGCCCCCCCUAGUAUCCCUUGGGCUGGGGUUGAGUUGGGGAUAGACGAAGCUUCCACUCUCACUUUAAAGCUGGGCCCUGACUUCCACAAUCCCGUAUUGUCGGGUUGAAGCACCAGGCUUAGAACCUCACACCCUGAAAAUGGUGCCUCCGUGUUGCUGCUGCUUCCUGUGGGAGCUGGGUAGGGGCGACAGUGAGACAU